AAAGGAUGAGACCCAGACUCUUAGCAUCCUCACCCUGAUAGGCAUCUCUGCAGAAGGUGCAGCAAAUGUUACCCAACCAGGGGAAAAUCAGUGAUCCCAACUUGGAGAAUCCAGGGCUGGGGAAAGCCGCUGAAGCAGGGACUGAGUUUUCAAUUAACAGAAGUAGACGAUUAAAGGAUCAUCAGUGCUGGUGGCGUGACUGCCAUGCCCCAGGACUUGGGGAUACACAAGUUCUGGAUUCCACUGGAAUAAGGAAUCUUCUGGCUUCUGAACCUGAGGGAACUGGAAAGUGCAGGAUUCAACAGGAACAUGGUGUGCCGGAUGGUCACCAUAGGAGCGCCUCUAAACCACUGAACCCUCCAUUCUCAAUAUGGGUUGCCACAGAGUUUAACCCGACUAUAUGGAAGGUUCUGGAAGAAGGAAGGGAUCUACAUCACAGAGGCCAAGCCCAAACAAUGGCUAUCCUAUCAGGGUGGCUGUCCUCAGAGCUCUUGGCAGAGGAGCAGAGGAAUACAUCACGUUGUUAGUGAGAAGAAGCACCCGGAAGUCAGAGGUGAAUGUGUGGCCCGCCACAGGCAGCAUCUUCGUCCUUCUGAGACCCAGGAGUUAGCUCCCUGAGUCAGGAUCUCUGGGGCAGUACCUCUGUCCAGGGAGGGGUUUCCUAAGUUCAUUCAUGGUUGGGUAUCUCCUAGGUUCAUGUCAGGUUAUCAGUUGGCCGAGCACUUGGCCUGCAGGUCUCACCACACUGGUCUGCUACAGACUGCUGACAGGGUCUUCAGCACCAAAUCCAUGGCUACAGUGUAUGCAUCUUUGUAUGCCCAAAUUACAGCAAGCAGUCAUAGCCACCAUGGACACCCAACCCAUUCUUUCCAAAGCAGUAGUGCAGCUGAUGUCAGAACAAGGAAGAACUUUGCUAGAUACAGCCAGGCUCCUAUUGUCCCCACCCAGGGAACUCUGCAGUCUGGAGCAGCUGCCUUGGGCUCCUCCUCCUCAGCAAGAGGUCUAAGAGGGUGUGUGUGGAGGGGUGCCUAAAAACAACCACAAAACUCACCUUUUAUCCAGAUGGAGACCCUGUAAGAUGUCCAGACCUGUGCCUGGGGGCAACUUGCUACCUCU
This 1116-nucleotide long non-coding RNA is filed under the name Cricetulus griseus (Chinese hamster). RNAcentral describes it as "lncRNA (ENSCGRG00015030357.1)". The record is from RNAcentral. Lineage: Eukaryota; Metazoa; Chordata; Mammalia; Rodentia; Cricetidae.